CGUAGCGCAGCUAGGCCAGCGCGCCUGUCCUGGGAGCAGGAGGCCGGUGGUUCGAAUCCACCCG
RNAcentral lists this transfer RNA (64 nucleotides) under marine sediment metagenome. RNAcentral describes it as "tRNA-Pro". It matches the Rfam family "tRNA", at positions 6 to 65 of the family's 71-position model. From Rfam's summary of the family: Transfer RNA (tRNA) molecules are approximately 80 nucleotides in length. Their secondary structure includes four short double-helical elements and three loops (D, anti-codon, and T loops). The record is from RNAcentral.